CGGUUUACCAGCCACUUGCAGAAAUUCUUAAAGUUACAGAAAGAGACGAUUGUUACGACAAGUCAGAGAUGGCGGACCCGCUUCGAAUCAUCUACGGAUUGCUAUUGUUCAUGUAUCUAAAAAAGGAUCCAGAACACAAAGACUAAGUCUAUGAGGAAAAUAAAGUUUUAGAUCAACGACUAAAAAUUGUCAAGAACAGAUAAAAUAUGAGAUAGAGAUAGAACUGGUAUGAAAGGUGACAGUAGAACAUUGAAAUAAUUUGAAAGAAACAAGUUGGCAAAGAUAUAUAUCACAUGCAUAGGAAGAGCAAUGGAAAAUAACAUUGAAGCAGAAUUAUGAAACAGUUAUUUUAAAAAAAACAUUAUAUUGAGAGAGAGAAAAACACAUUUUUUUACUUUUUAAUGCUGUUCAUUCUUAAGAUUACUGUUCAUUGUAUUUCGAUGGAAGUUAUUGCAGUUGAUAAGAAGAUAGAACAAAAAUUUGAGUUCUUCAGCUUGUUUUAUGCAGUCAAUAAAAAUUAAUUUUGAAAAGUAAACCAUAUAUGU
Mytilus trossulus (common blue mussel) is the source of this 545-nucleotide long non-coding RNA. RefSeq lists it as uncharacterized. Lineage: Eukaryota; Metazoa; Mollusca; Bivalvia; Mytilida; Mytilidae. The record is from RefSeq and is a predicted model, not a curated record. The transcript is spliced from 3 exons.